CCUUGUACACACCGCCCGUCACACCAUGGGAGUUGGUUCUACCCGAAGGUAGUGCGCUAACCGCAAGGAGGCAGCUAACCACGGUAGGGUCAGCGACUGGGGUG
Molecule: ribosomal RNA, 104 nt
Filed under: uncultured bacterium
Lineage: Bacteria
Description: partial 16S ribosomal RNA
Rfam family: Bacterial small subunit ribosomal RNA
Source: RNAcentral